CGUGUAGGCGGGCUCGUUAGUCGGGUGUGAAAUCCCUCGGCUUAACCGGGGAACUGCACCCGAAACUGCGAGUCUUGAGUCAAUCAGGGGUCGAUGGAACUUCAGGUGGAGCGGUGAAAUGCUUAGAUAUGCCAUAGAACACCAAUUGCGAAGGCAGCUCACUAAGCUAUAACUGACGCUGAGGCACGAAAGCGUGGGGAGCGAACAGGAUUAGAUACCCUGGUAGUCC
This 229-nucleotide ribosomal RNA is filed under the name uncultured bacterium. Its description in RNAcentral is "partial 16S ribosomal RNA". It matches the Rfam family "Bacterial small subunit ribosomal RNA", at positions 568 to 796 of the family's 1533-position model. The record is from RNAcentral.